This 24-nucleotide non-coding RNA is filed under the name Arabidopsis thaliana (thale cress). The record is from RNAcentral. Lineage: Eukaryota; Viridiplantae; Streptophyta; Magnoliopsida; Brassicales; Brassicaceae.
AUGUUUAUAGUUUAAACGGUUGGU